GACGAACGCUGGCGGCAUGCCUAACACAUGCAAGUCGAACGGAGAUUAUUUCGAUAAUCUUAGUGGCGAACGGGUGAAUAACGCGUGGGCAACCUGCCCUCUAGAUGGGGACAACAUCCCGAAAGGGGUGCUAAUACCGAAUGUGACAGCAAUCUCGCAUGAGGAUGCUGUGAAAGAUGGCCUCUAUUUAUAAGCUAUCGCUAGCGGAUGGGCCUGCGUCUGAUUAGCUAGUUGGUGGGGUAACGGCCUACCAAGGCGAUGAGCAGUAGCCGGUCUGAGAGGAUGAACGGCCACAUUGGGACUGAGACACGGCCCAGACUCCUACGGGAGGCAGCAGUGGGGAAUCUUCCGCAAUGGGCGAAAGCCUGACGGAGCAAUGCCGCGUGAGUGAUGAAGGAAUUCGUUCCGUAAAGCUCUUUUGUUUAUGACGAACGUGCAAGUUGUGAAUAAUGACUUGUAAUGACGGUAGUAAACGAAUAAGCCACGGCUAACUACGUGCCAGCCGCCGCCGUAA
Molecule: ribosomal RNA, 514 nt
Filed under: uncultured bacterium
Lineage: Bacteria
Description: partial 16S ribosomal RNA
Rfam family: Bacterial small subunit ribosomal RNA
Source: RNAcentral